This 66-nucleotide small RNA is filed under the name Acididesulfobacillus acetoxydans. RNAcentral's name for it is "Peptococcaceae bacterium INE non-coding RNA". Lineage: Bacteria; Bacillati; Bacillota; Clostridia; Eubacteriales; Peptococcaceae. The record is from RNAcentral.
GUUUCAAUUCCUCAUAGGCAGGCUAUCGGCAGAAUUCGCCCUUCUCGUUUCUCUCGAUUGUUCCAG